Molecule: ribosomal RNA, 246 nt
Filed under: uncultured bacterium
Lineage: Bacteria
Description: partial small subunit ribosomal RNA
Rfam family: Bacterial small subunit ribosomal RNA
Source: RNAcentral
AGAAUCAACGCUGGCGGCGUGCCUAACACAUGCAAGUCGAACGAGAAAGGGGAGCAAUCCCUGAGUAAAGUGGCGCACGGGUGAGUAACACGUGACUAACCUACCCUUGAGUGGGGGAUAACUGAGGGAAACCUUAGCUAAUACCGCAUAAUACCCACGGGUCAAAGGAGCAAUUCGCUCGAGGAGGGGGUCGCGGCCGAUUAGUUAGUUGGCGGGGUAAUGGCCCACCAAGACGAUGAUCGGUAU